CCUGAAGUAUGCUAUUCUCCUGAGGUAUAGUAUUCUACUGAAGUAUGGUCUUCUCCUGAAGUAUGCUAUUCUCCUGAGGAUGAGCCUGUAUUGGUCCUCUUUCUACCCAGGAUGACCCAGCCCUCCAGCCCAUAGGCUCGUUAUCUACGGAUUACCCUUCCCUCAGGCUGCUCUCUAUCUCUGGUCAAAGUAUCAAAGGCUAAUAUGUGUUUCAAUCCAAAAUGAUGGAGUUAGAGGGGGUAAAAGUCGUCUUAAUUUGAGCACCAUGACGGAGCAUGACCUUAUGAUCUCAAUCAUGUCUCGUUACUCGAGUCGAGGCAAUUUAGCAUGGGUCAGAUCUAUACUCUACAACAUGGGUCAAUUCCCCAACAGCGGAAAGCAACGCUGCAGACACUUGAGGAGAUUUGACUCCCCUGAAGUGUAUCAAUUUUAAUGACACACAGCCCUGGGCAGAUUGAACUCACCAUGACCAAAGGAAAGCUGUCAAACCAGAAAGAAGUCAAAACUAGAGGAUCCAGUCAGACUGUCACUGAUCCUGAGUGGAUCAGGUGUUUGUCAAUUAAAUUAGUCAAAGUAUAAAAUGCAGCGCAACAGUAAGCAGCAUCACUGUACAGUGUGAUGGUCCAGUUGAUGUUCAUGCCAUUGCCUAUGUUGUUAAUGUUGUGCUUUACAAAGGGCCACCCAUGUACUCAACAUAAAUAUUUGAAAUGCCUUGCUCUAGAAGCCAUAUCAUUUUUAGGGAUUGACCUUGCGGUCACAAGUCUGAUCCUCUGACCACUUCUCUACUCAUGUCAUAUGUCACGCUUGGGGCUUCUCCUGUUCAGAACUGCUGCCUAAGCAUAAUCUGAUAUCCUCAAUUGCAAUGAGCAAUGGAAAUGCACUGAAUGUAAUGUCACAUUGCAAACAACUAUGUAGUAGACUGGUAGCCUCUAAAUUCCUAUGACAAUAUCUCACAGAACCACUGCUUGCAUGCUGCAACCCUGUGAAUACGAUUGGUGUGAAACUGCACGUUGGGGGGAAAGUUACUGCUGAGGUGUGGCUUGGCAUCCUUUACUGUUCACCCCACUUACAACACAUUUUUUAUGGGCGCCGGUAGAAGUAGCUUUCGUAAAAACAGAGUUCACUUUGUUAUUCAGAUCUGAGUUCACAGCAUGCAGUGACUUAGGAUCAAUGGCAAAAUGCAUUGAAUUUCAUAAUGGCUUGGCUUCCAACUUUGGAAUGCUCCUUCACAACAAUUCAAUUUAGCGCCAUAAAAUCUGUCAACUGUAAACGACUCAGAAAGAGAACAAGUUUCACAACACCAAAAGUAACUGGGAGAGAGGUUAUGCCCUUGCUGUAACCCCCAGCUUUGAACUAUUGAUUGAGCUGCAGCCACUACAAGAAACGCUUAGUCUCUAGCAUAAACUCACGGCGAUCUAUUCAAGAUUCAAAAUUAUGUCAUUGUUUGAUGCAGUAGAGCGUCAAUCGACUUUAGGGGGAUAUUAUCAAGAGAGAGAGAGAGACGAGAGGCUAUGUUUGAGCCAUUGUUGACAAAACCGAAAUGCCACAGCACCCUGAUGGCCUAGGCAUGGCCAUUAGGACAGAGGAGCAGAUAGGGCCUCCAGGGGCCUGAGGAGGGUAAAUGGGGCGGUGCCAGAGUGUUUACAUGGCUCUAAUUGGCCAAGAUAAGUUGUGUCUCAUCAAACCCAGAAAGUAAAGCACUGAUGUUGGUGAUUCAUUGUAUCACCUUGGAAAUCACAGCUGCCAUUCCCUAAAAGGCAUUUCCUGUUUAUUGGGUAUGUGCAACGCGUUUUAAACUAACUGUCUAAAUACCGUUCCUAAAUUAGGAUGAAACAAGGAAGUAAAAAAGGGAAAAGUCUAGUUUCUCUUUGAGAACAAGGUGACUCAUCACCCCUCCCAUGUCUUCUUCAUGUUUACAUUGCCUUUCUUCUCCGUCAUAGUUCUGAGAAUAGAAUCAGUAGAAUCACUCUGCUUUAUUUCAUGCUGAGUUGUCAGAAAAUGGUUCGAAGCCUUUCCAAUCCAUGUCCCCUGUGUAGGAAAAGGUCACUGACUCAAUAUCCACAUUGAGCUAAACAGGGUUUCCCUAGCCUGCGGUAUUCAUCUUUAACAGGGAGUGGAUUCAGGGUUUUAAAAAUGGUCAGA
Molecule: long non-coding RNA, 2142 nt
Filed under: Salmo salar (Atlantic salmon)
Lineage: Eukaryota; Metazoa; Chordata; Actinopteri; Salmoniformes; Salmonidae
Description: lncRNA (ENSSSAG00000091547.1, ENSSSAG00000102248.1)
Source: RNAcentral